AAUAGAUACCCAGGUAGUCCACGCCGUAAACGAUGAGUGCUAAGUGUUAGAGGGUUUCCGCCCUUUAGUGCUGCAGCUAACGCAUUAAGCACUCCGCCUGGGGAGUACGGUCGCAAGACUGAAACUCAAAGGAAUUGACGGGGGCCCGCACAAGCGGUGGAGCAUGUGGUUUAAUUCGAAGCAACGCGAAGAACCUUACCAGGUCUUGACAUCCUCUGACAACUCUAGAGAUAGAGCGUUCCCCUUCGGGGGACAGAGUGACAGGUGGUGCAUGGUUNGUCGUCAGCUCGUGUCGUGAGAUGUUGGGUUAAGUCCCGCAACGAGCGCAACCCUUGAUCUUAGUUGCCAGCAUUCAGUUGGGCACUCUAAGGUGACUGCCGGUGACAAACCGGAGGAAGGUGGGGAUGACGUCAAAUCAUCAUGCCCCUUAUGACCUGGGCUACGACACGUGCUACAAUGGAUGGUACAAAGGGCUGCAAGACCGCGAGGUCAAGCCAAAUCCCAUAAAACCCNUUACUCAGUUCGGAUUG
This 530-nucleotide ribosomal RNA is filed under the name uncultured bacterium. RNAcentral describes it as "bacterial SSU rRNA". It matches the Rfam family "Bacterial small subunit ribosomal RNA", at positions 777 to 1300 of the family's 1533-position model. The record is from RNAcentral.